CACGUAGUUAGCCGUGGCUUUCUCAUAAAGUACCGUCACUCGGAUGUCAUUUCCUCCAUCCGUCUUUCUUCCUUUAUAACAGAAGUUUACAGAACGAAUUCCUUCUUCCUUCACGCGGCGUUGCUCGGUCAGGGUUCCCCCCAUUGCCGAAAAUUCCCUACUGCUGCCUCCCGUAGGAGUCUGGGCCGUGUCUCAGUCCCAGUGUGGCCGGUCACCCUCUCAGGUCGGCUACGCAUCGUCGCCUUGGUGAGCCGUUACCUCACCAACCAGCUAAUGCGCCAUAAGUCCAUCCUCUACCAGUGCCUUGCAGCACUUUUAAUACGGUCACCAUGCAGUGUCCCUACCUAUGCGGUCUUAGCUGCCGUUUCCAGCAGUUAUCCCCCUGUAAAGGCCAGGUUACUUAUGUAUUACUCACCCGUUCGCCACUCGGGCACAAGUGCCCGCGUUCGACUUGCAUGUAUUAGGCACGCCGCCAGCGUUCAUCCUGAGCCAGGAUCAAACUCU
Molecule: ribosomal RNA, 504 nt
Filed under: uncultured Coprobacillus sp.
Lineage: Bacteria; Bacillati; Bacillota; Erysipelotrichia; Erysipelotrichales; Coprobacillaceae
Description: partial 16S ribosomal RNA
Source: RNAcentral